CAGAUUGGAGAGACUGUCCAACUGGCUCCAGUUAGACCAACGUUGAAGUUUCAUAUGUGUGAUCCCAUGCAAACUCAGGGAGCUUCCUUGUUGGUCAGCUAUAAAAACAUCCCAUCAGUCUGUUGAGUUCACAGCUCGACAGUUUCAACAUCACCAUGUUCUCAAUAGCUCUGCUGCUGCUGUUGGCAGCUGGAUGCUUCAAAUGUGAGCAGUUGACGCAGCCGGCCUCUGUGACUGUGCAGCCCGGUCAACGUCUGACCAUCACCUGUCAGGUUUCUUAUAGUCUGAGCAGCUACUGGACAGCAUGGAUCAGACAGCCUGCAGGGAAAGGACUGGAAUGGAUUGGAAGCAAAUAUACUGGAGAUUCACGCUACAAAGAUUCACUGAAGAGCAAGUUUAGUAUCGACUUAGAUGCUUCCAGUAAAACAGUGACUCUAAACGGACAGAAUGUGCAGCCUGGAGACACGGCUGUGUAUUACUGUGCUAGAGACCCACAGUAACACAAACCAUCAGUACAGCUGAACAAAAACCUCUCAGUGCCUGAACACUUGUAACACAAAGCCACCAGAGGAGGAGUC
This is a non-coding RNA of Gasterosteus aculeatus aculeatus (three-spined stickleback), 578 nucleotides long. The record is from the annotation of a RefSeq genome assembly. NCBI's taxonomy places the organism in Eukaryota, Metazoa, Chordata, Actinopteri, Perciformes, Gasterosteidae.